This 235-nucleotide long non-coding RNA is filed under the name Mytilus galloprovincialis (Mediterranean mussel). The record is from RNAcentral. Lineage: Eukaryota; Metazoa; Mollusca; Bivalvia; Mytilida; Mytilidae.
GCGUGAAAUGUUUUCCUCAGAUUAUCCUAAUGAAGAACGCUGAAAUCAACAAAUUUAAAGACUAUAAUUCCUGAGAAGCUGCAUGUGGGUUCAUAAGGGACACCAUGUGUUAGAAAAAGUAAAAUAUAAAAUAUAAAAUAUAAACUGUAUCGUCAAAAGAGUGUUAUAAAGACGAAUAGUCUAACUAACACAACAUAGACGAAAAUCAACUAGAUAGUUAUCAAAAGUAUCAGGC